Non-coding RNA from Odocoileus virginianus texanus, 550 nucleotides. Lineage: Eukaryota; Metazoa; Chordata; Mammalia; Artiodactyla; Cervidae. The record is from RefSeq and is a predicted model, not a curated record.
ACAUGUGAGAACUGGAGAGAGCGCUUUCAUUACAGUGAUCAGAGUUGGCCAGGGAGGGACUGACUUUUCUGACCUGCUCCAACAGACUCUCGGGACUCUUCCUCCUCUCCCCAUCUCAUCCCAAGUCUUCCAGUUACCCCUUUUCCUGCUCCUAAGACAUCUGGCCAUGGGGAUCAUCGUCUGAGGACCACAGUGUGCCAGGGAACUGAAUUUUAGCAGAGGCAUUGUGAAGACCGAGAAGGCAUGAGGCCAGCGCAGGACCAGUUUCUGAUGUUUGCCCCCUUGGGGUGACUGCUUACCAGCCUGAUGAACUGUCAAACAUUCUCACAGCCCCUGGAGAAGGAAAAAUUGAAGAUUUGACGGUUGACUUUUGGGAUACAUGUCCCUCCAGCAUUUGAAUUUGUAAUUCUGGAAAUUUACUCAAUACUGGGUCGUCUUGGGCCACUGAGAGAAUCUCUGCCACCUCAGCCUGCCAGGGCUGCAUGUCACUACAGCCACUGAAGCUCAGCUUGUUGAGACUGAAGGAUUGACACAUGCCUGCUCCUUCCGG